Molecule: ribosomal RNA, 253 nt
Filed under: uncultured bacterium
Lineage: Bacteria
Description: partial 16S ribosomal RNA
Rfam family: Bacterial small subunit ribosomal RNA
Source: RNAcentral
UACGAAGGGGGCUAGCGUUGCUCGGAAUCACUGGGCGUAAAGCGCACGUAGGCGGAUUGUUAAGUCAGGGGUGAAAUCCUGGAGCUCAACUCCAGAACUGCCUUUGAUACUGAAGAUCUUGAGUUCGGGAGAGGUGAGUGGAACUGCGAGUGUAGAGGUGAAAUUCGUAGAUAUUCGCAAGAACACCAGUGGCGAAGGCGGCUCACUGGCCCGUAACUGACGCUGAGGCACGAAAGCGUGGGGAGCAAACAGG